RNAcentral lists this long non-coding RNA (3301 nucleotides) under Marmota monax (woodchuck). The record is from RNAcentral. Lineage: Eukaryota; Metazoa; Chordata; Mammalia; Rodentia; Sciuridae.
UGGGGCGACGGGGUUGGGCCCGGAGCGCGGCAACCGGGAACCGGCCGGCGCAGGGACCCAGCGCGCCGCUCUCCGGAAGUGCCUGUCCGAUCCCGGAGUCCCUGGGGUCAGGGUCCCACCAUGGCCCAUCGGCCGCCGGUUUCCAAACCGGCGCCCUUUAACAAACGCUCGCGCUUUUAAGCGCUCCCUGCGUAGCUGUGCCAGUGCCUUAAAACCCGUGGCAAAGGCUUCGGUGUCUUACAAACGCUUGGCCGCACGGAGUGGACCUGACUGGGGCCCAAAUGCUUCCCUGCCCAGCCUGAUUCCGGGGCUCCACUUGCCGGACCGGGCUGGGCAAGAGUGUGGUUUUUCAGACUCUUUGGGGUGGCCAUGGUCUGCCCGCCCCCAUGAGGCCUGCUGUGGCUGAGCUGGCCGCUGGGGGAGGCAGUGGCAGAAUGGAAUUGAAAGAAAACCAGCAGCCUUCACGACCUCAGGGAGUUUGCAGGACCCUGGAGGACUCUUGCCCACCAGGCAGCCCCUGGGGAGCUCCUGGCUGAGGUCCGGCCCUGCUGGGAAGGUCAGUCAUGGAGUGGGGGGUCUUCUAGCCACCGGCAGAGCAGACAGGCCCCUGCCCUCAGGGCCUUCAGAGUUGUGAACUGCAGCCAAACCCAGGGUGCUAAGAAAAGGUGGCCAUGCCACCAGAGUCCCUGCUCAGGGCCAGCAGGCGAGUGGGCCAGACACCACUGGAGUCCCUGGGGACGGUGGGUUGCCUCUGGGUGAUGAUCACAUGCCGCGUUAAUGAGAACUGUUGGCUGAUCUAGGAUGUGUGCGUAUUUCUGUUUAUUAUGUAUUUAUUUACUCCCGUGCUCUGAAGUCCUGAGGCCUGUUUGCCUGGUACCUGCCAGGCAAUGACUCACCACGGAGCUGCAUUCCCAGCCCUCUUCUUUUCGUUUUUAAAUAGGGCAUCAUAAGUUGCUGAGUCUAGCCUCAAACUUCAAUCCCCUUUCCUCAGCCUCCUAAAUUGCUAGGAUCACAGGCCUGCGCCACUGUGCCCAGUUGGUAAGCACAUUCUUUUGCUUAACAUUCUGCCUUGACCCACCUAAAGACAGGAGACACAGGAAGUGGCCAGCUUCCCUCUCAUGUCCUUCAUUACCGUCAUGAAGAACUUGACACACAUAAGCCAUUUUGUUUUGUGUUUUUCCUUUUCCAGUGUUAUUUUGGAGAUAGCAUUCACUUUUAAAAUUUGUUCUUUUUAACAAUACAUGACAAUAGAGUGUAUUUUUUUAAAUAUUUAUUUUUUUUAGUUGUAAUUGGAGACAGUACCUUUGUUUUCUUUAUUUAUUUUUAUGUGGUGCUGAAGAUCAAACCCAGGGCCUCACACGCGCUAGGUGAGCGCUCUACCACUGAGCCCCAGCCCCAGCCUGACCCAGCUUGACAAUAGAGUAUAUUUUGACAUUUUUACAAACAUGGAAUAUGUUUUAUUAGGAUCCCAGUCUUGCUGUGAAGAGUCACUAUGGUACAUUCACAUAUGUACAUAGAAAACUUAUGUCACAUUCAUUCCACUGUCUUCCUAUUCCUGUCCCCCUCUGUAACAGGGGUCUAUUUUAGGCUUUGAAUUAGCCCUUGCUGUUUGGCCACUGCAACUUUUUUUAUUUUUAUUUUUUGUGAGAGAGAGAGAGAGAAUUUUAGUAUUUAUUUUCUAGUUUUCGGCAGACACAACAUCUUUGUUGGUAUGUGGUGCUGAGGAUCGAACCCGGGCCGCACGCAUGCCAGACGAGCGUGCUACCGCUUGAGCCACAUCCCCAGCCCAACUGCAACUGAUUUUUAAAAUGGUCAUUUCUUCUUCUUCCUCUCUCCCUGCUCCUCCCUAAUCUCAGGGGAAACAGGGUGACCUUCCCCACCCUGGGCAGAGUAUCUGUCCCUGAGCACACACCCGCAGGAGAUUGAAGUAAUCCAGGCUUGGGGAUGGCACCAAAAGAUCUCAGAGAAGACUAUUUCCCAAGUUAAGGAGUGAGUCACACUCCAACAGAGAGGUAGCCUGAGUCACCUCUUUAACAGCCCCUGCUCCUGCUGAGGGGCAGAAUCACACCUAUGGAAGUCCCCUGUGCUUCUCCUUUGCUAGCAAAGCAAUAAAGAUUUCUUUUUCACUUUUCUCAACACUGAGUCCUCGUUAUUGGGUUGGCAUCAGGGACAAGGACGAGCUUUCAGUAACACAACACCUCCCUUCCCUUCAUUCCCCUUGGUCUAAUUCACUGAACUUCCAUCUUCCCCUCCCACCGCGGUUGUGUGUUAGCAGCCACCUAUCUGAGAGAACAUUCCGCCUUUGGUUUGGGGGGAUUGGCUUAUUCCUUAACAUAAUUGUCUCCAGAUCCACCUAUUUACCAGCAAAAGUCACAGUCAUUAUCGCUGAGUAGCAUUCCAUCACGUAGGUACACCACAUGUUCUUCACCCAUUCGUCUGUUGAAGGUCACCUGGGUCGGUUCCACAGUUUAGCUGCUGUGAACAUCGAUGUGGCUGCGUCACUGCAGUGUGCUGAUUUCAAGUUGUUUAUGUAUACAUCGAGGAGGGGGAGAACUGGGUCAAAUGGUGGUUCCAUUCCAAGCUUUCUGAGGAAUCUCCAGACUGCUUUCCAGAGUGGUUGCACCGAUUUGCAGUCCCCCCAGCAGUGUAUGAGUGAACCUUUUCCCCACAUCCUCACCAGCAUGUGUUGUUACCUGUAUUCGUGAUUGUUGCCAUUCUGACUGGGGUGAGAUGGAAUCUCAGUGUGGUUUUAAUUUGCAUUUUUCUGAUUGCUGCAGAUGUUGAAUAUGUGUUCAUAUAUCUGCUCACCAUUCAUACUUCUUCUGUGACGUGUUUGUUCAAUUCCUUAGUCCAUUUAUAGAUGGGGUCUUUUGGGGUUUUUUAAUUUGUAUUUUUUUAGUUGUAGAUGGACACAAUAUCUUUGUUUUAUCUUUAUUUAUUUUUAUGGUGCUGUGCAUCAAACCCAGUGCCUCAUGCAUGCAAGGCAAGCACUCAACCACUGAGCUAUAACCGCAGCCCUGGUGUUGAGUUUUUUGAGUUCUUCAUGUCUCCUGGAGAUAAUGCUGUAUCUGAGGUGCAGGUGCCAAAGAUGCGCUCCCAUUUUGUAGGCUCUCUUCAUGCUCAGACGUUUCCUUGACUGUGAAGCUCCUUAGUUUCAUACUAUCCUGUUUAGUGAUUCUUGAUUUUACUUCUUGCACUUUAGGAGUCCUGUUGAGGAGGAAGUCAGUUCCUAACCUGACAUUAUGGAGAUUUGGGCCUGCAUUUUCCUCUAGUAGGUGCAGGGUCUCUGGUCUAAUGCCUA